CGGAGGAUCCAAGCGUUAUCCGGAAUCAUUGGGUUAAAGGGUCCGUAGGCGGUUUUGUAAGUCAGUGGUGAAAGCCCAUCGCUCAACGGUGGAACGGCCAUUGAUACUGCAAGACUUGAAUUAUUAGGAAGUAACUAGAAUAUGUAGUGUAGCGGUGAAAUGCUUAGAUAUUACAUGGAAUACCAAUUGCGAAGGCAGGUUACUACUAGUGGAUUGACGCUGAUGGACGAAAGCGUGGGGAGCGAACAGGAUUAGAUACCCUGGUAGUCCACGCCGUAAACGAUGGAUACUAGCUGUUCGGAGCAAUCUGAGUGGCUAAGCGAAAGUGAUAAGUAUCCCACCUGGGGAGUACGUUCGCAAGAAUG
RNAcentral lists this ribosomal RNA (365 nucleotides) under uncultured organism. Its description in RNAcentral is "bacterial SSU rRNA". It matches the Rfam family "Bacterial small subunit ribosomal RNA", at positions 526 to 896 of the family's 1533-position model. The record is from RNAcentral.